UAACACAUGCAAGUCGAACGGUAGAGAGGAGCUUGCUCCUCUUGAGAGCGGCGGACGGGUGAGUAAUGCCUAGGAAUCUGCCUGGUAGUGGGGGAUAACGUUCGGAAACGGACGCUAAUACCGCAUACGUCCUACGGGAGAAAGCAGGGGACCUUCGGGCCUUGCGCUAUCAGAUGAGCCUAGGUCGGAUUAGCUAGUUGGUGAGGUAAUGGCUCACCAAGGCGACGAUCCGUAACUGGUCUGAGAGGAUGAUCAGUCACACCGGAACUGAGACACGGUCCAGACUCCUACGGGAGGCAGCAGUGGGGAAUAUUGGACAAUGGGCGAAAGCCUGAUCCAGCCAUGCCGCGUGUGUGAAGAAGGUCUUCGGAUUGUAAAGCACUUUAAGUUGGGAGGAAGGGCGGUAAAUUAAUACUUUGCUGUUUUGACGUUACCGACAGAAUAAGCACCGGCUAACUCUGUGCCAGCAGCCGCGGUAAUACAGAGGGUGCAAGCGUUAAUCGGAAUUACUGGGCGUAAAGCGCGCGUAGGUGGUUUGUUAAGUUGGAUGUGAAAUCCCCGGGCUCAACCUGGGAACUGCAUUCAAAACUGACUGACUAGAGUAUGGUAGAGGGUGGUGGAAUUUCCUGUGUAGCGGUGAAAUGCGUAGAUAUAGGAAGGAACACCAGUGGCGAAGGCGACCACCUGGACUAAUACUGACACUGAGGUGCGAAAGCGUGGGGAGCAAACAGGAUUAGAUACCCUGGUAGUCCACGCCGUAAACGAUGUCAACUAGCCGUUGGGAAGCCUUGAGCUUUUAGUGGCGCAGCUAACGCAUUAAGUUGACCGCCCUGGGGAGUACGACGCAGAUUAAAACUCAAAUGAUGACGGGGUCCGCACAAAGCGGUGAGCAUGUGUAAUCGAGCAACGCGAAGAAACCUUAACCCAGGCCCUUGGAC
RNAcentral lists this ribosomal RNA (938 nucleotides) under uncultured Pseudomonas sp. Its description in RNAcentral is "bacterial SSU rRNA". It matches the Rfam family "Bacterial small subunit ribosomal RNA", at positions 49 to 986 of the family's 1533-position model. The record is from RNAcentral. Lineage: Bacteria; Pseudomonadati; Pseudomonadota; Gammaproteobacteria; Pseudomonadales; Pseudomonadaceae.